This 64-nucleotide transfer RNA is filed under the name Homidia socia. RNAcentral describes it as "tRNA-Cys". Lineage: Eukaryota; Metazoa; Arthropoda; Collembola; Entomobryomorpha; Entomobryidae. The record is from RNAcentral.
ACAUUAAUAGUCAUUGAAUGAUUUAAAAUUGCAAAUUUUAAGGUAAAAUAAAAUUUUUAUUGUU